Molecule: unclassified non-coding RNA, 345 nt
Filed under: soil metagenome
Description: partial contains 5.8S ribosomal RNA, internal transcribed spacer 2, and large subunit ribosomal RNA
Rfam family: 5.8S ribosomal RNA (bases 1-120)
Source: RNAcentral
GAUGAAGAACGUAGUGAAAUGCGAUAAAUAAUGUGAAUUGCAGAAUUCAGUGAAUCAUCGAGUCUUUGAACGCACAUUGCGCCCCCUGGUAUUCCGGGGGGCAUGCCUGUCCGAGCGUCAUUGCUGCCCUCAAGCACGGCUUGUGUGUUGGGCCUCCGUCCUCCUCCCGGGGGACGGGCCCGAAAGGCAGCGGCGGCACCGCGUCCGGUCCUCGAGCGUAUGGGGCUUCGUCACCCGCUCUUGUAGGCCCGGCCGGCGCUUGCCGACACAUCAAUCUUUUUUCCAGGUUGACCUCGGAUCAGGUAGGGAUACCCGCUGAACUUAAGCAUAUCAAUAAGCGGAGGA